Perognathus longimembris pacificus (Pacific pocket mouse) is the source of this 435-nucleotide long non-coding RNA. RefSeq lists it as uncharacterized. The record is from RefSeq and is a predicted model, not a curated record. Lineage: Eukaryota; Metazoa; Chordata; Mammalia; Rodentia; Heteromyidae. The transcript is spliced from 2 exons.
CUGGUGGUUAAUUGGAGAUGAGUCUCAAGGACUUUCUUUGAAUGACGAUCCUCAGAUCUCAGCCUCCUGAGUAGCUAGGAUUACAGGUGUGAGUCAUGGGUGCCAAGCUAUAUCCUGCCAUUUUUAAUGGUUAGCACAUACCCAUAAAUUGGCUGUCUCAGGAAAAUAUAUCCAUGUUUUAGACUGACUUCCAUUUUAAAAACAACUAGAAAGGCCAGAACUUUUUUCCUGGGGUUUAUGUUAUUCCUUCAGUGGAAACACUGUCUUCUGGCCUAUCCCCUUUGAGUAAUUUCCUUAUCUAACUUAUUGGAUAAGGAAAUAGGGAAAGUGCUGAAGGAAUGCCCUAAGUCACAUAGCACUGACAAUAUUAGGUUCAUUUCUUGACUGUGGAAUCAUGUCUUGUUUCCCUAGUCUUUGGUGCAAAGCAGGUAUUAA